Molecule: ribosomal RNA, 233 nt
Filed under: uncultured bacterium
Lineage: Bacteria
Description: partial 16S ribosomal RNA
Rfam family: Bacterial small subunit ribosomal RNA
Source: RNAcentral
UGAGUAAAGUGGCGUACGGGUGAGUAACACGUGGAUAAUCUACCCUGGAGUGGGGAAUAACGCUGGGAAACCGGCGCUAAUACCGCAUAAUCCCGAGAGGGCAAAAGAGCAAUUCGCUUCAGGAGGAGUCCGCGGCCGAUUAGCUAGUUGGCAGGGUAAAAGCCUACCAAGGCAACGAUCGGUAGCCGGCCUGAGAGGGCACACGGCCACACUGGCACUGAAACACGGGCCAG